This 855-nucleotide ribosomal RNA is filed under the name uncultured Weissella sp. RNAcentral describes it as "bacterial SSU rRNA". It matches the Rfam family "Bacterial small subunit ribosomal RNA", at positions 46 to 889 of the family's 1533-position model. Lineage: Bacteria; Bacillati; Bacillota; Bacilli; Lactobacillales; Lactobacillaceae. The record is from RNAcentral.
GAUCAACUGAUUGAAGAGCUGCUCAGAUAUGACGAUGGACAUUGCAAGAGUGCGAACGGUGAGUAACACGUGGAAACCUACCUCUUAGCAGGGGAUAACAUUUGGAAACAGAUGCUAAUACCGUAUAACAAUGACAACCGCAUGGUUGUUAUUUAAAAGAUGGUUCUGCUAUCACUAAGAGAUGGUCCCGCGGUGCAUAGCUAGUUGGUAAGGUAAUGGCUUACCAAGGCAAUGAUGCAUAGCCGAGUUGAGAGACUGAUCGGCCACAAUGGGACUGAGACACGGCCCAUACUCCUACGGGAGGCAGCAGUAGGGAAUCUUCCACAAUGGGCGAAAGCCUGAUGGAGCAACGCCGCGUGUGUGAUGAAGGGUUUCGGCUCGUAAAGCACUGUUGUAAGAGAAGAAUGACAUUGAGAGUAACUGUUCAAUGUGUGACGGUAUCUUACCAGAAAAGAACGGCUAAAUACGUGCCAGCAGCCGCGGUAAUACGUAUGUUCCAAGCGUUAUCCGGAUUUAUUGGGCGUAAAGCGAGCGCAGACGGUUAUUUAAGUCUGAAGUGAAAGCCCUCAGCUCAACUGAGGAAUUGCUUUGGAAACUGGAUGACUUGAGUGCAGUAGAGGAAAGUGGAACUCCAUGUGUAGCGGUGAAAUGCGUAGAUAUAUGGAAGAACACCAGUGGCGAAGGCGGCUUUCUGGACUGUAACUGACGUUGAGGCUCGAGGGUGUGGGUAGCGGACAGGAUUAGAUACCCUGGUAGUCCACACCGUAAACGAUGAGUGCUAGGUGUUUGUAGGGUUUCCGCCCUUAAGUACCGCGAGCUAACGCAUUGAGCACUCCGCCUGGGGAGUACGACCGC